GGGGAAUAUUGCACAAUGGGGGAAACCCUGAUGCAGCGACGCCGCGUGGAGGAAGAAGGUCUUCGGAUUGUAAACUCCUGUUGUUGAGGAAGAUAAUGACGGUACUCAACAAGGAAGUGACGGCUAACUACGUGCCAGCAGCCGCGGUAAAACGUAGGUCACAAGCGUUGUCCGGAAUUACUGGGUGUAAAGGGAGCGCAGGCGGGAAGACAAGUCAGAAGUGAAAUCUAUGGGCUCAACCCAUAAACUGCCUUCAAAACUGUUUUUCUUGAGUAGUGCAGAGGUAGGCGGAAUUCCCGGUGUAGCGGUGGAAUGCGUAGAUAUCGGGAGGAACACCAGUGGCGAAGGCGGCCUACUGGGCACCAACUGACGCUGAGGCUCGAAAGUGUGGGUAGCAAACAGGAUUAGAUACCCUGGUAGUCCACACCGUAAACGAUGAUUACUAGGUGUUGGAGGAUUGACCCCUUCAGUGCCGCAGUUAACACAAUAAGUAAUCCACCUGGGGAGUACGACCGCAAGGUUGAAACUCAAAGGAAUUGACGGGGGCCCGCACAAGCAGUGGAGUAUGUGGUUUAAUUCGACGCAACGCGAAGAACCUUACCAAGUCUUGACAUCCCUUGACGAACAUAGAAAUAUGUUUUCUCUUCGGAGCAAGGAGACAGGUGGUGCAUGGUUGUCGUCAGCUCGUGUCGUGAGAUGUUGGGUUAAGUCCCGCAACGAGCGCAACCCUUAUGGUCAGUUACUACGCAAGAGGACUCUGGCCAGACUGACGUUGACAAAACGGAGGAAGGUGGGGAUGACGUCAAAUCAUCAUGCCCUUUAUGACUUGGGCUACACACGUACUACAAUGGCGUUAAACAAAGAGAAGCAAGACCGCGAGGUGGAGCAAAACUCAGAAACGACGUCCCAGUUCGGACUGCAGGCUGCAACUCGCCUGCACGAAGUCGGAAUUGCUAGUAAUCGUGGAUCAGCAUGCCACGGUGAAUACGUUCCCG
RNAcentral lists this ribosomal RNA (995 nucleotides) under uncultured bacterium. RNAcentral describes it as "bacterial SSU rRNA". It matches the Rfam family "Bacterial small subunit ribosomal RNA", at positions 356 to 1376 of the family's 1533-position model. The record is from RNAcentral.